Long non-coding RNA from Ictalurus furcatus (blue catfish), 3122 nucleotides. RefSeq lists it as uncharacterized. The transcript is spliced from 3 exons. Lineage: Eukaryota; Metazoa; Chordata; Actinopteri; Siluriformes; Ictaluridae. The record is from RefSeq and is a predicted model, not a curated record.
CAUCCUACACAGGGUUGUGGGGAGCCUGGAGUCUAUCCCAGGGAACUCGGGGCACAAGGCAGGGGACACCCUGGACAGGGUGCCAACCCAUCACAGGGCACAAUCACUCGUGCACACACACACUGGACAAUUUUGGAGAUGCCAAUCCACCUACAACGGAUGUCUUUGGACUGGGGGAGGAAACCCCUGAAGCACAUUUGCAGGGACAUCCAGAAAAUUUAGUGAAACCCAGUCAUUGAUCUUAUUGGAUAAUUAGUCUCUAAUGAUUUGACCUUGUUUGUUACGCUGCUAAAUAUUUUCCAAAGGUAUGGAAGUGAUGUUAAGUCAGCAGAUGUAUUGCGUGGGUUUGUGUUCUCUCUCCCUCCCCCUGUUUUUUUCUCACAGGUCGCUCUGCCCUAAUUCGUUGUGCUGACGUGCUGCACGGGGAUUGGAGAGGAGAAGAUUGUCCCUCUUUUAAAAAGGAGGACGAACAAUAUGUUGGGAGGAAUGCGGAUGUGUGGGGUGUCUGUGUUUGCGUGUGUACGAUUGAGUAGCGAAUGUUUUUCCUGGUGUUUGAGUGAAAUCGCUUGCUUGUUGUGUUGUGUACAAGUGAAAGAAGUGAGUGGAAGUAUAUUGUGUUGUCCCAUUCCCCUGUUUUGUCUUGUGUUGUGGCUGAGUGUACGCCUGAAUUGUAAAUAUAUCUUUCAUUGUAAAUAUUUCUCUUCUUACUGUCAUGAAAGCUGUAGGGGUUGUGUGGCGUUUAUUUUUGGGCUCUACCUUUUGUUCGCUGUUUUUGCCUCAGUGAGGGAGUCAGGGCUCAGGACGUUCCCCCGCAGCUGUUGAGCCAGAGAGAGCUGAAAUGGUUAGAGAUACUGAAGAACUGGGACAAAAGGAUCAACAAGAGAUUUAAGAAGGAUGCGGUUCAGCUGGACGGAGAGAUCCUGCAUGCGCUGUUGAAGCGAGUGUGUCCUGUGGCGUAUCGGCACCUGGACAAGCACAAGAUCGAGCCGGUGCUCUACAUGAUGGAGUGGUUCAUGUGCGCCUUCUCCAGAACUCUGCCCUGGGCCUCAGUCCUCCGAGUGUGGGACAUGUUCCUGUGUGACGGUCAGAAGAGUGUUAAUGGUGUUUACUGCUCAUCUGGAGAGUCACCGCCAUCUUUCUGCAGGGGGUUAGAAGGUACUGCUCAAUGGUUUUAUUUGUCUAUUUGUUUGAACUUUACACUUUAAUAUUAGUUCAAAUCUAUGUGUAUGUUUGGCUUUUCCUCUAAAAACGAGUGUUUGGAGAGUUAGCAUUUCUCAUUUCUGCUCUCCAAACAAAAAAAAAACCAACAACGUUUAUUAUAUUUAAAUAAUAAUAAUUAUAAAAACAACGUUUAUUAUAUUUAAAUCUGUAAUUAGUAGUUAUUUGUUUUAAAAGAGAUUAUUUUCUGUGGGAGAUUGUGUAAAAUGUACAUAUAGAGCAGAAGGGUUUGCAUGUGCCUUUACUAAAUUCAAUAACUUGACUUUUGAUGGGUCACUUAUGCACAUACUUGCUCACUAAAAUGGCGGGUGCUUGCGUCUUCUUGUUCAGCUUCCUCUUUGUCUGUAAGACAGUGUUGUACUUGAGCGCCAUCAAGUGGUACUUUUAUGUAACUUCACCGGCUCCGGGCACGUGAACAAAAGCACGAAUCUCAUUGGGCGGCCAGUUUUUGCUGCUUUGCCGCCACGUGUUUUAUGCCCGAGUGUGAAAACUCAUUGACAGUGACAGGGGGCGUUAAACAGACCGUUUUCAACCGUCCCCGUGUGAACAGGGCUUUAGGUGUUCAUUGUGUGCAUUGUAGUGCGUUGUUCCUGUCGUGGAAAUUAGACAACACUCACAGACUCGUCCUCUGAAGGUAAAAAGGUUUAUUACAGAAAGAUGGUUAAUACAGGAUAGAAUAAAGCAGGACAGAAUAAUGAGAGCGCUCUGAAGUGCUUAUACUAAACCACUACUAUAUAUAUGAAACUCAGAGCAUGACAUCAUUCUGUCUACCGAUAAGCAGUUUGAGGCAGUUCAAACAGGCUUUGUUUUAGGAUCUUAGAUGAUGUUUAGACGAGCCUAGAACAGAAGAACAUGUUUGUGUCUCUGUAAGCAGAUAAACAUUCUGAUCUCAGUGACAUCACAUGGCCUUCUGGGUCGUUAUCCUCACAUGAGAAUGAAACAGAACAAGAAUAAAACUAUUUCAAAGUAAAAAUGAAUAAUUUCCCUCACAGUGUAAUGAACAGAAACUGCUGUUUGUUAAUAACUGGAAUCUGUUCUGGGAGCGUCCUAGGUUGUUUCGUCCUGAUGGCCUGCACCCCAGCAGCCUCGGAGCGGAACUGCUGUCUGACAACAUCUCCAAGACGCUACAGACCAAGUGACUGUCUACCGUAAGCACAUCUUCUACAAUAACAAUGUUCAUCAUAAGCAAUGUUCAAUUAAUAGUCCAACACCUGUAGUACAUACUAUAGAGACUGUGUCUGUUCCCCGAGCUAUACAAAUACAUACACAAUUUCAGAAUGUUUAUUUUAGUAACCUAAUUAACCUAAAAUUAGAUCAUACUGAAUGCACAUCCAGCACCUUUAAUCUGAAGCUAGGACUAUUAAACAUUAGAUCUCUUGCGUCUAAGGCUCUUAUUGUUAACGACAUCAUUACUGAUCAGGAAUGUAAUUUACUGUGUUUAACGGAAACUUGGAUUAAACCAAACGAGUACAUAGCAUUAAAUGAAGCCAGUCCUCCUGGAUACAGUUAUGUACAUCAGCCUCGUUCAACUGGUAGAGGAGGAGGUGUUGGUCUCAUCCAUAGUCAAAAUCUAGGCGUCACACAAAAACCUAGUCAUAAAUUUAAUUCUUUUGAAAUUCUUUACACCAGUAUAACUUAUGUAGCCACAAAAAAUAAGUCAAUUCCUCUAAUUAUUAUUUACAGACCCCCAGGGCCAUAUACUGAAUUUCUUAGUGAAUUUGCAGACUUUAUCUCAAACCUGGUUGUGUCUGUAGAUAAAGCAUUAAUCGUCUGUGAUUUUAAUAUUCAUUUUGAUAACCCAGAAGACCCUCUGAGAACAGCGGUUGUGUCCAUCUUAGAUUCAGUAGAGGUCAAUCAGAACGUAAUCGGGCCUACUCAUAAUGGUGGUCACACUCUUGACCUCA